Molecule: long non-coding RNA, 1552 nt
Organism: Poecilia latipinna (sailfin molly)
Lineage: Eukaryota; Metazoa; Chordata; Actinopteri; Cyprinodontiformes; Poeciliidae
Exons: 3
Source: RefSeq, a predicted model, not a curated record
GGAAGUGACCUCUCUGGGUCACGAAGGUUAGCUACACUUUAAGCUAACGAUGUUUCAUCAGGCCUGUUCACUGAAGAAACGGCCAGAGCUGAAUCCAAACAGUUAAUUUAUUAUGUAACAGGGAGGUGAUUACUUUUUAACACGUUAUCCUGAAUUUAUUCCGUUUUUAUCCUGAAGUUAUUCUGAGCUGAAUAGAGGAAAGUUUUCUUUUCCUGAAAGUGAAGAAAAGUUUAGUUUAGAUGUCUUCCUCUUCAUCAUCUUCUUCACUAUCAUCUGAUCUCAGACGGUUCCGACCCAGUUGGACCAGAACCAGCAGCCUGCUGCUGUGUAGGUGUUCAGGUCCUGCAGCCUGCAGCGUCCACCCGCUCAGCCAGAGAAAGUCGUUGGACCAUACCCCCCAGGCUCCCGGCUCCUUGUAUGGGCGAGGAGCCGUGACCUUUGACCUGCAGAAACUUUUGAUGUUCCUGCAGCUUCUGAUACAGGAGCAGGAGUCAUCAUGGCGGGUGAUCGACCAAUCAGAAGAGGAUUUGAAAUAUGGCACACAGAAGUGAUGAAUCACCAAUCAGAGGGGAGGAAGAGGAGCUUAUGAUGAAGGUCUUUGCUGGCACCGCCCCCUUUCCUCGUCACCUGUUCCUCAGGUAAACACCGCUGAAGGUUACAGGUCAACAGAACACGCUGCAGUACCGCUGCCGGCCACCAGGGGGACAAAACCAGCAGCAAUAAUUCAUCAGCCAAAUUUUCUCCUUCCGGUUCUGGAAAGAAACACGAGCUGGUUUUUAUUUUGAUAUUAAUAAAGAAUACAAUCUAAAUAUGUCAAAUAAAACCCAAUAGAACCAGAACAUUUCAAUGAUAACAAUAAUAAUUAGUGAUUCCAACAUUUAAGCACGAUAUUUCAAUAAUAACACUCAGCGUUUGGAGCAGAGCAGCUGCUGGGUGUUUCCUGCAGCUGCCUGUUAGUAUGCAGCUCAGGUCUGCAGCAGGCUGACGCCCAGAGAGCUGCGCUGCAUCCCAACAUGCUGCUGUUCCUCCCACUGAGGCUGCUGCAGGGAGGACUGGGCUGAUCUGGGCCAAAACCAGCCUCAAACUGGGAGAACUGGCCAUGGUGCUGACCUGCUGGAUCCUGUCAUAGUGUCAGAUUAAGAUCUUCUCUUUCCCAGCUCCGUCUUGGUCCCUGUUGUCAUGGAAACAGACCCGUCUUGACAUCAUGCUGAGAUCUGGAGGUUCUGGUCCUGCUGAGGGAGUCCAGUCCAAACGGAGCUGCUCAGAACUGCAGAGUGGACCUCCAUCUCUCCUGGCUUUGCACAUGAGGUGGGAAGUUCUGCAGAACUCCAGUCCGGUUCCUCCGGUCCACUCUGACCCAGUUCCUCUGACCCAAUAUGCAAAGUUUAUUUUCUCAGAAGGUUCUGAAGCAAAGCAGGUUUGAUUCUACCGCUUUGCUUCCCUCCAGCUGCAGAGCUAAUGAGCUGCGGAAGCAUUGACCUUUGACCCCGCAGCGUGUGCCGCCGCUGGCAGGAUCGCGGUGACCCGCUUGGCCAGGAGGCAGAGGUCAGAG